GAUGAACGCUAGCUACAGGCUUAGCACAUGCAAGUCGAGGGGAAACGACAUCGAAAGCUUGCUUUUGAUGGGCGUCGACCGGCGCACGGGUGAGUAACGCGUAUCCAACCUGCCCAUCACUUGGGAAUAACCUUGCGAAAGUAAGACUAAUACCCAAUGAUAUCCCACGAAGGCAUCGGAAUGGGAUUAAAGAUUUAUCGGUGAUGGAUGGGGAUGCGUCUGAUUAGCUUGUUGGCGGGGUAACGGCCCACCAAGGCAACGAUCAGUAGGGGUUCUGAGAGGAAGGUCCCCCACAUUGGAACUGAGACACGGUCCAAACUCCUACGGGAGGCAGCAGUGAGGAAUAUUGGUCAAUGGGCGAGAGCCUGAACCAGCCAAGUAGCGUGCAGGAAGACGGCCCUAUGGGUUGUAAACUGCUUUUAUAAGGGAAUAAAGUGGGUCACGUGUGACUUUUUGCAUGUACCUUAUGAAUAAGGACCGGCUAAUUCCGUG
Molecule: ribosomal RNA, 492 nt
Filed under: uncultured bacterium
Lineage: Bacteria
Description: partial 16S ribosomal RNA
Rfam family: Bacterial small subunit ribosomal RNA
Source: RNAcentral